Molecule: long non-coding RNA, 3116 nt
Organism: Equus caballus (horse)
Lineage: Eukaryota; Metazoa; Chordata; Mammalia; Perissodactyla; Equidae
Source: Ensembl
CAGACAGGAGCAGAUGGUGUGGCCGUGGGGCCUGCAAUGGGCCUCACUGAGGCCUGAGCUGAGAGAAGGAAACAUCCUGGAGAAGCUGAGACUUCAAGGAAGAGUCGCUUUCCUGGUGAACCCUUGAGGGAGGACCUUCCAGGCAGAGGUGGGGAAACCAGCUUUGCCUUUCUCCUAGCUCUACUGAGCUCCCGUCUUACUUCUACUCUACACCAGGACAGAGUCCACCUGACACUUCUGAAUGACGGGACGUCCUUCAUCUUCUGCUGGAGAUUUAGAGACAGACUUCCAACAAGGAAAGCCAGGCCUCUGGCCAAGGACACCCCUGAACACAGAGCAGAGAGGAGCCGAAACAGGACACUGAAGACAUCCAGGCCGCCCAGACCCACAGACUGCGCCCCGACCCUACCUCCCCUGCAGUUAGUGCAGGAGGAUGAGACAGAGCAAGGUCACCCAUCAGGAUGCUGUCUCUCUAGCGCCCUCUGCCGGGUUCUCAUGAGAAGACCCCCUUGACAGGAGGAGACAAGGAGUCGUUGCAAGGAGCCAGACAGACAGGUGGUGAAGGACAGCGCUGGACAGGUGUGAGACUGCUCUAUGAGGCCAUUCAUCUCAUAAAUAGUUGCUGAGUACCAAAGACGUGCCGGGCGCUAUUCCAGUGCCAGGGAUAUGAACGGAUGAGACAAGGCCUUCCGGUGGAGCAAGCAUCCUGGGUGAUCGCAGAGAGAGAAUAAACAAAUACAUAGCGUCGGCAGUAAAAAGCGCUACACGUAGAGAAACAAAACAGAAUAAGAGAUAGGAAGUGAUGCAAAUGGGACUCAAAAUAGGGCACUCAGGGAAGGCCUUAUGAGGAAGUGACCUUUGGGCGAAGAUCUAAAUAAAGCGAGGGAGUGAAGUGUGCAGAUCUCGGAAGGAAGAAUUUUCGGGCAGAGGGGAAGCGAAGGCCAAGGCCCUGAGACGGGAAGAUAGAGAGACUGCAGCUGAAAAGUGAAGAAUUGAGUCGGGCUAGAGACCAGGGCAGCCUUCCUGUCACCAGCGCCUGAUGCAAAGUGAGACUGAUGACAGACUGCAGUCUGUUGAUUUGCUCCACCCGAAUCAGAGGACGCACCGAGAUCUGGACAAACUUGGUGUGCGUGUAGCCUAUACCCGUGUCUGUGUUCCUGAUGCCAUACGCAGGCGUCACGAGUGCCCUGUCCUGGUGGGGGUACCUGCACACCCAAAAGACCAGAGCAUCAGAAAUCACCACUAGGAAAAAGGCGCCCUGGCCUAGGCUCCAAAUUCGAGCUUUAAGAGCUGACACGAGUCUCCUUUCAAAGGUCUUUCUUGCGUCUAUUGGCUGCUUACUCUCUCAGGGAAGAAACUGUUCGUCAGUGGAAUCAAAACAAGGGAUACUUAAAAAGCUCCAGGAAAGUCAUAUUUCCUGGAGAUGGAAAAUAUUUUUCUCAAAGGGAACUGGGAAGAGGCAAGAAUUUUUAAAAGGAUGACCUAUGAAAGAGGAACGGAGCCAGAACACGAUCCAAGAGAGGCUUUCAAAGCUUACAGUGGAGGAGAAAUGGCUUGUUUGAGACGAGGAAAGAGGCGGAACAAGGGAAGUAACUUGCCUGAGGUCACAUGGCUUGUCAGUGUCACAGGGCAAGAUUCCAUUCCAGGACUCCCGGAUUCCAGCAUCUCUGCUCCUAACCAGCCAAUCCUUGCUGUCUUCUCCUGCUGGCACCGACUCCGCUAAGAAACAGAAGGUUCAAGAUGGCGACACAGGAAGAUCCUGAACUCGCCUCCCCCACAGACACACUGAAUCUACAGCUGCAUAUGGAGCAAUUUCCUCUCAAAAAAACCCUAAAAUCUAGUGGAAAGACUCCUUCGUAUUAGGGAAAUGAGAAAACAAAAAACAAAAAAACAUUGAUGCGAGUAGGAAAGGCUGAGAUAGUCUCACCAUAACCCGCCCUCCCCCCCAGCCACACACAGUGACCCAUAGCCCGAGUGAACUUAAAACCCAGAGCUUCUCCCUGAGGAGCGAAAGGUUUGUACUCCACAUCGGGCACCCCAGCUUUUAAGACCUGCACCUGAGAGAUGAGCCCCCAACACAUCCAGCUUUGAAAAGCAACAGGGCUUGGGCCCAGAAGACCCACAGGGCUGGAGAAACAUCGCUCAAAGGACUCGCUCACCCCGGGGGCCCAGUGCAGAAGCAGCCCUUGGAAAGUGCCCGACUUUCCGUGCUGGAGGCUCAUUCCUAGUUUUCAGGCCUCGGUCUCCAGGGCCCGGAGCUGGUGAGCGCCAUCUUCACGCUCUCCCUAGGUAUUGCUAGAGCCUGCGCCCCCCUCAUUUCUUUUUUUUUUUUUUUGACUCUAGAAGUUUUUCCCCGCAGCGGGCACCAUUUUCCUGCUCUCUGUCUUGCUAAAGCUGGUGGGCACCGGCUUUUCCUGUCUUUGCUUUUCUCGGCGAUGCCAUCUUUGCGCCCCGCCCCCGCCUCCCCCCAGCCACGCCAUCUUCCGCUCUCCUACUGCGCUCAAAGCGCCACUGUCUCCUGGAAGGGAGUUUCUACAUGCAUCUGGUGUUCUGGAUUUUACCCGUGGUGACCCAGUUUUGGUGGCUACAGCCCAGGGGAAGUCCCUUGAUCGCCAGGCUCUGAAGGCCAGAGGGGCUUGCUUUCCUGGGUCCCAUGGGACUGUGACAAACGGAGAGACAGUUCUCAGCAGGCGACACCCCCAGGGCACUGCACAGAUAGAGACUGAAACACCCCCCCAUCUUUCUGGGAAAGAGGCCUAUGCGCAUGUCCAGGAGCUUUGGCCUGGGGGAGGCUUCUGGUCUGGCCCCUUCCAGGGACCUAGGGAGUGCUCUCUCAGGGAAUGGAGGGCGUGGACUCAGUCUGCGUUCUCUGCCUGGCUCCAGCUCACUGGUAUCUCCUACAGCUGCCACCCUCAAGGCACAGCAAGAGGCCACAGACCCAGGAACUCAGUCUUUCUGGGAAAGAGGGCUAUUACCUUAUCAUCGCAGCUGCUGCCUGAGGGUCUGGCUUCCAAUCAGCCUGAAUCUAGGUGCUGACUUCAAUCCUCCCCUUUGGGACACUGACCGGUCUUGGCACACCCUCAGCUACUGGAAACUAUUAAAAAUAAAACAGGCUG